AGGUUCCAGCUAACGCAACCCCGGAUCAUGUUCACCUUCUUGGUAACAGGUCCAUAUUGCUGACACAUCUCCCUGAGUGACAGCUCCCAUCCGUGAAUGCUGCCACAGGAGUAUGUGACAGUCCUGGUGUUGACAACUCAGAUUUGGAGGAUCCAAGGAGCAGUUUAACAGAGGCUCUAAAGGCAACAGCACCUGAUAAGGAUCUGCAGAGGAAACAUGUUAUUCUGUCACAUACAUGGAGGAUAACUCUUUGGUA
This is a long non-coding RNA of Callithrix jacchus (white-tufted-ear marmoset), 256 nucleotides long. RefSeq lists it as uncharacterized. Lineage: Eukaryota; Metazoa; Chordata; Mammalia; Primates; Cebidae. The record is from RefSeq and is a predicted model, not a curated record.